This 556-nucleotide ribosomal RNA is filed under the name Aureobasidium pullulans. Its description in RNAcentral is "eukaryotic LSU rRNA". The stretch from base 180 to 333 matches the Rfam family "5.8S ribosomal RNA". The record is from RNAcentral. Lineage: Eukaryota; Fungi; Ascomycota; Dothideomycetes; Dothideales; Saccotheciaceae.
GCUGAGUACGGUGCUAGCGCCCGACCUCCACCCUUUGUUGUUAAAACUACCUUGUUGCUUUGGCGGGACCGCUCGGUUCCGAGCCGCUGGGGAUUCGUCCCAGGCGAGCGCCCGCCAGAGUUAAACCAAACUCUUGUUAUUUAAACCGGUCGUCUGAGUUAAAAUUUUGAAUAAAUCAAAACUUUCAACAACGGAUCUCUUGGUUCUCGCAUCGAUGAAGAACGCAGCGAAAUGCGAUAAGUAAUGUGAAUUGCAGAAUUCAGUGAAUCAUCGAAUCUUUGAACGCACAUUGCGCCCCUUGGUAUUCCGAGGGGCAUGCCUGUUCGAGCGUCAUUACACCACUCAAGCUAUGCUUGGUAUUGGGUGCCGUCCUUAGUUGGGCGCGCCUUAAAGACCUCGGCGAGGCCACUCCGGCUUUAGGCGUAGUAGAAUUUAUUCGAACGUCUGUCAAAGGAGAGGAACUCUGCCGAUUGAAACCUUUUAUUUUUCUAGGUUGACCUCGGAUCAGGUAGGGAUACCCGCUGAACUUAAGCAUAUCAUAAGGCCGCGAAGGAAA